This 506-nucleotide ribosomal RNA is filed under the name uncultured bacterium. RNAcentral's name for it is "partial 16S ribosomal RNA". It matches the Rfam family "Bacterial small subunit ribosomal RNA", at positions 29 to 523 of the family's 1533-position model. The record is from RNAcentral.
AGUGAACGCUGGCGGUAGGCCUAACACAUGCAAGUCGAACGGCAGCACAGGAGAGCUUGCUCUCUGGGUGGCGAGUGGCGGACGGGUGAGGAAUACAUCGGAAUCUACUCUGUCGUGGGGGAUAACGUAGGGAAACUUACGCUAAUACCGCAUACGACCUACGGGAGAAAGCAGGGUACCUUCGGGCCUUGCGCGAUUGAAUGAGCCGAUGUCGGAUUAGCUAGUUGGCGGGGUAAAGGCCCACCAAGGCGACGAUCCGUAGCUGGUCUGAGAGGAUGAUCAGCCACACUGGAACUGAGACACGGUCCAGACUCCUACGGGAGGCAGCAGUGGGGAAUAUUGGACAAUGGGCGCAAGCCUGAUCCAGCCAUACCGCGUGGGUGAAGAAGGCCUUCGGGUUGUAAAGCCCUUUUGUUGGGAAAGAAAUCCAGCUGGCUAAUACCCGGUUGGGAUGACGGUACCCAAAGAAUAAGCACCGGCUAACUUCGUGCCAGCCGCCGCUGUAA